This 164-nucleotide ribosomal RNA is filed under the name Ixeris stolonifera. RNAcentral describes it as "5.8S ribosomal RNA". It matches the Rfam family "5.8S ribosomal RNA". From Rfam's summary of the family: 5.8S ribosomal RNA (5.8S rRNA) is a component of the large subunit of the eukaryotic ribosome. It is transcribed by RNA polymerase I as part of the 45S precursor that also contains 18S and 28S rRNA. Functionally, it is thought that 5.8S rRNA may be involved in ribosome translocation. RNAcentral also lists the same sequence under 8 other names. The record is from RNAcentral. Lineage: Eukaryota; Viridiplantae; Streptophyta; Magnoliopsida; Asterales; Asteraceae.
CAAACGACUCUCGGCAACGGAUAUCUCGGCUCACGCAUCGAUGAAGAACGUAGCAAAAUGCGAUACUUGGUGUGAAUUGCAGAAUCCCGUGAACCAUCGAGUUUUUGAACGCAAGUUGCGCCCGAAACCAUCCGGUUGAGGGCACGCCUGCCUGGGCGUCACGC